RNAcentral lists this small RNA (253 nucleotides) under Otolemur garnettii (small-eared galago). RNAcentral describes it as "Metazoan signal recognition particle RNA (ENSOGAG00000034507.1)". The record is from RNAcentral. Lineage: Eukaryota; Metazoa; Chordata; Mammalia; Primates; Galagidae.
CCAGGCAUUGUGGCGGGUGCUUGUAGUCCCAGCUACUUGGAAGGCUGAGGCAAGAGAUUUGCUAAGCCCAGGAGUUGAAGGUUGCUGUGAGCUGUGCUGCCACAGCACUACCGAGGGCGAUAAAGUGAGACUCUAUCUCUACCAAAAAAAAAAUGAAGAGACAGAGUUUCACUUUGUCGCCCUGGGUAGAGUGCUAGGGCAUCACAGCUUAUAGCAACCACAAAUUCUUGGGUUGAAGCAACUCACUUGCCUC